RNAcentral lists this transfer RNA (66 nucleotides) under Camelus bactrianus (Bactrian camel). It matches the Rfam family "tRNA". From Rfam's summary of the family: Transfer RNA (tRNA) molecules are approximately 80 nucleotides in length. Their secondary structure includes four short double-helical elements and three loops (D, anti-codon, and T loops). Further hydrogen bonds mediate the characteristic L-shaped molecular structure. tRNAs have two regions of fundamental functional importance: the anti-codon, which is responsible for specific mRNA codon recognition, and the 3' end, to which the tRNAs corresponding amino acid is attached (by aminoacyl-tRNA synthetases). tRNAs cope with the degeneracy of the genetic code in two manners: having more than one tRNA (with a specific anti-codon) for a particular amino acid; and 'wobble' base-pairing, i.e. permitting non-standard base-pairing at the 3rd anti-codon position. Lineage: Eukaryota; Metazoa; Chordata; Mammalia; Artiodactyla; Camelidae. RNAcentral also lists the same sequence under 2 other names. The record is from Rfam by way of RNAcentral.
GAGGGUAUAGCUCAGAGGUAGAGUGCAUGCUGCACAAGGUCUUGGGUUCAAUUCCCAGUACCUCCA